Non-coding RNA from Aspergillus niger ATCC 1015, 86 nucleotides. NCBI's taxonomy places the organism in Eukaryota, Fungi, Ascomycota, Eurotiomycetes, Eurotiales, Aspergillaceae. The record is from Rfam.
AUCCAAUGAUGAGAAACAAUUUUUUCAGUUCUGCUUCUGCAAAAACCUUGAAGAAAACAAAAUACCUUACCAAAAACUCCUGAUCC